UAAAAUGUAACAGUGUCCACUCUGGCCUCUCUCUACUGCCAGGUGCCUGCAGACACUACUGGUGGCCUCCACCCCUCGCCGGGAGGGAAGGGCUGACCACGGGGAGCCACUCUGCUCCUGACUGCCGUGUUGACAGCCCCAACGUCCCGACGACUCAGGGCGCGGAGCAAAGAUGAGGUACUAGGUUUGUGUGAAGGUAAUCUGCCUUCUCAUUAAACUUUAUUAUUAAUAUUUCCUUUUUUUUGAGAUCUUGUGAGUUUUUAGACAUGUGAUACACAGUCUUCCUCCGCCUCUCCCCGCUGCCAGAUGUUUGCCGACAGAGCUGGUGGUCACCACCCCUUGCCGGGGGAAGGCGCUGCCUACGGGAAACCACCCUGCUUCACACACCGCGAGUGAAGGAGUGCGGAGGAAGUCGAUUCUUUCACUUUGGUUUUACAACCGCUUCAGGUGAGUGUGGUGAGUGUUAUUUAUAUAUCGGUUCAGGUACA
This is a long non-coding RNA of Scylla paramamosain (green mud crab), 488 nucleotides long. RefSeq lists it as uncharacterized. Lineage: Eukaryota; Metazoa; Arthropoda; Malacostraca; Decapoda; Portunidae. The record is from RefSeq and is a predicted model, not a curated record. The transcript is spliced from 2 exons.